GAAAGCCUAGGCACUUUACCAAAUCUUGACAUCCUUUGACAACUCUAGAGAUAGAGCCUUCCCCUUCGGGGGACAAAGUGACAGGUGGUGCAUGGUUGUCGUCAGCUCGUGUCGUGAGAUGUUGGGUUAAGUCCCGCAACGAGCGCAACCCUUAAGCUUAGUUGCCAUCAUUAAGUUGGGCACUCUAAGUUGACUGCCGGUGACAAACCGGAGGAAGGUGGGGAUGACGUCAAAUCAU
RNAcentral lists this ribosomal RNA (238 nucleotides) under Staphylococcus aureus. Its description in RNAcentral is "partial 16S ribosomal RNA". It matches the Rfam family "Bacterial small subunit ribosomal RNA", at positions 956 to 1193 of the family's 1533-position model. Lineage: Bacteria; Bacillati; Bacillota; Bacilli; Caryophanales; Staphylococcaceae. The record is from RNAcentral.